Molecule: long non-coding RNA, 1433 nt
Organism: Halichondria panicea
Lineage: Eukaryota; Metazoa; Porifera; Demospongiae; Suberitida; Halichondriidae
Exons: 3
Source: RefSeq, a predicted model, not a curated record
UAGUCUGGCCACGCCCUCCCAUACUUCGUAUAUGGUCGGGUGAACUUGCAAUGAACAGUUCGUGCAGACACCCCAAGAUUUUCUUGGGGUGUGAAACCGCUCGUCAAGUGCCUUGUGGGCCGUUGUGGCCUGUUGUGUAAACUGUUACGUAAGCUAUUGCAUCACGAAAAAGUAGCUAGAUAUGGGCCUCUACUGCUGUUUGUGUGCGAAUGAGUCUCUGGCCGGACAACCGAAGGCAAAAGAAGCUCAAUGGUCAUAGCUGUUCUGAAGCAAGAGAAGUACUUGUGCAGCUCCUUCCAGUACCUCUGCAUUGCAUCCCUGAAACUAGUGCUAGUGACAGUAUAAUUAUUGUGUCACCAGUGCGAGAAACAACUGAAGAAUGUCCAUGCUCAACAAGAAAAGCUAUGCAAGGUAAAGAAGGAAGCAACAGAGCUAAUAAAUGGUCUGCUUUCAAGACAUGCAGAAGAUAACUUAUUACCACCACCGCCAAAAAGAAGUAGAGUUAUGCAGGAACCCCCCACACCACCCAUUCCAUCAUCUGUUUCAGUACCAACCAUUCCAUCAGUGUCAGCAGCAACCAUUCCAUCAGCGUCAGCAGCAACCAUUCCACCGGUGUACGUGUCAGCAGCAAUCAUUCCACCAGUGUCAGCAGCAACCAUUCCAUCAGCGUCAGCAGCAAUGUCAGCAGCUAAUCUACGAACAACUGCAGCCACUCAGCUACCAUCAUCUCAGAUACCGCAAAGCAGCUCUAAUUUGCCCAGUUUUGAGGUUGUAGUACCCUAUUCGCAGCAGACCCGAAAGUACAUUAUCAAAACUCUGACUCGACAGACUGCCAUUAGGCGUUUGGUCCGAAAGAGUUACACCGCUCUUACCUCUGGUACCGUAAACUCUCCUAGGGCAAAGAGGGCAUUGUUAUCACAGUUGGCACUGACAAUCAAAAAUGAGAUGAAGAAGAUAGGUACAAAUAAACAUGAUUCAAUUUUAAGGGACAACAAUGAAGCAGUGAAACGAUUCAGCUGGGAGACAGUGAGAUUGGAGCUUUAUAAGAUGGUUCCAACUCUCAUGUCACUGCUUUCGCUGCUGAUACCAAACCCAGAAAACCGUAUACCCCCUUAUUUGCACUAUUGCAUCCCAAUUGUUGAAGUGCAGGCAUCAACAACUAUUGUUAGUCCAGAGGGUUGUUUCCGUCAUGUUGUAUGGAGAUGGAACUCACAAGCAGGUGUUCAGCAGUCUGCAGCCACUGAACUUAUGCCUCUCCCACAAAAGAUCGCUGAACAUUGUGAGAGGUAUUUCUCAAGACUAUGACGCAAAUAGUAUUGCUUGUGAGGGUUGUCCAUCCCUGCCACUACGCCCAGUUUCUUGUACAUACUCCUCAACUGAUGAAGGCAUACCCCAAUGAAUAAUGGUUCGUACGUCUGGGCAGUCAAUACCCA